Molecule: ribosomal RNA, 255 nt
Filed under: uncultured bacterium
Lineage: Bacteria
Description: partial 16S ribosomal RNA
Rfam family: Bacterial small subunit ribosomal RNA
Source: RNAcentral
GUCCACGCCGUAAACGAUGCUAACUCGUUUUGGGCUUUAGGGUUCAGAGACCAAGCGAAAGUGAUAAGUUAGCCACCUGGGGAGUACGCUCGCAAGAGUGAAACUCAAAGGAAUUGACGGGGCCCGCACAAGCGGUGGAUUAUGUGGUUUAAUUCGAUGAUACGCGAGGAACCUUACCAAGACUUAAAUGGGAAUUGACAGGUUUAGAAAUAGAUCUUUCUUCGGACAAUUUUCAAGGUGCUGCAUGGUUGUCGU